RNAcentral lists this ribosomal RNA (519 nucleotides) under Vibrio alginolyticus. RNAcentral describes it as "bacterial SSU rRNA". It matches the Rfam family "Bacterial small subunit ribosomal RNA", at positions 372 to 883 of the family's 1533-position model. The record is from RNAcentral. Lineage: Bacteria; Pseudomonadati; Pseudomonadota; Gammaproteobacteria; Vibrionales; Vibrionaceae.
UGGGCGCAAGCCUGAUGCAGCCAUGCCGCGUGUAUGAAGAAGGCCUUCGGGUUGUAAAGUACUUUCAGUCGUGAGGAAGGCGGCGUCGUUAAUAGCGGCRUCGUUUGACGUUAGCGACAGAAGAAGCACCGGCUAACUCCGUGCCAGCAGCCGCGGUAAUACGGAGGGUGCGAGCGUUAAUCGGAAUUACUGGGCGUAAAGCGCAUGCAGGUGGUUUGUUAAGUCAGAUGUGAAAGCCCGGGGCUCAACCUCGGAAUAGCAUUUGAAACUGGCAGACUAGAGUACUGUAGAGGGGGGUAGAAUUUCAGGUGUAGCGGUGAAAUGCGUAGAGAUCUGAAGGAAUACCGGUGGCGAAGGCGGCCCCCUGGACAGAUACUGACACUCAGAUGCGAAAGCGUGGGGAGCAAACAGGAUUAGAUACCCUGGUAGUCCACGCCGUAAACGAUGUCUACUUGGAGGUUGUGGCCUUGAGCCGUGGCUUUCGGAGCUAACGCGUUAAGUAGACCGCCUGGGGAGUAC